RNAcentral lists this long non-coding RNA (254 nucleotides) under Elaeis guineensis (African oil palm). RNAcentral's name for it is "long non-coding RNA (EGUI_LNC030119)". Lineage: Eukaryota; Viridiplantae; Streptophyta; Magnoliopsida; Arecales; Arecaceae. The record is from RNAcentral.
GUGCGAUCGAAUAGCCCAAGGAUGAGCUAAUUGAGAUUUGAUGGUUCAGAGGUGUGUUCGGGUGAUAAUCGGAGUGCAUAUCCGAUCAGGGCUCGGAUUCAGUUCUUUAAAAAGACCUGUGGCAGCGAACAGAGGGCAGCAUGAUGUGGUGUGUUUGAUCGAGGACCCAGAGUAGCAGCAGACUGAGAGGAGUCGAUAGAGAAUAGAGACAGGGGUGCUUCAAGUAGACUGUCAGGCAGCAGACAGCAGGUUGC